RNAcentral lists this ribosomal RNA (481 nucleotides) under uncultured bacterium. RNAcentral describes it as "partial 16S ribosomal RNA". It matches the Rfam family "Bacterial small subunit ribosomal RNA", at positions 30 to 507 of the family's 1533-position model. The record is from RNAcentral.
UUGAACGCUGGCGGCAUGCUUUACACAUGCAAGUCGAACGGUAACAGGCCGCAAGGUGCUGACGAGUGGCGAACGGGUGAGUAAUGCAUCGGAACGUGCCCAGUCGUGGGGGAUAACUACUCGAAAGAGUAGCUAAUACCGCAUACGAUCUAUGGAUGAAAGCGGGGGACCGUAAGGCCUCGCGCGAUUGGAGCGGCCGAUGUCAGAUUAGGUAGUUGGUGGGGUAAAGGCUCACCAAGCCAACGAUCUGUAGCUGGUCUGAGAGGACGACCAGCCACACUGGGGCUGAGACACGGCCCAGACUCCUACGGGAGGCAGCAGUGGGGAAUUUUGGACAAUGGGCGCAAGCCUGAUCCAGCAAUGCCGCGUGCAGGAAGAAGGCCUUCGGGUUGUAAACUGCUUUUGUACGGAACGAAACGGCUCUGGUUAAUACCCGGGGCUAAUGACGGUACCGUAAGAAUAAGCACCGGCUAACUACGUG